Molecule: ribosomal RNA, 821 nt
Filed under: Tragelaphus eurycerus (bongo)
Lineage: Eukaryota; Metazoa; Chordata; Mammalia; Artiodactyla; Bovidae
Description: partial 16S ribosomal RNA
Rfam family: Bacterial large subunit ribosomal RNA (bases 162-644)
Source: RNAcentral
CAAAUCUAGCCCAAAAAUAACCCUAUCAAAACAAAACAAAAUAAAAUAAAACAUUUACCCCUUAACCCUAAAGUAUAGGAGAUAGAAAUUUUAAGACUGGCGCUAUAGAGAAAGUACCGUAAGGGAACGAUGAAAGAAAAAAAUCAAAGUAUAAAAAAGCAAAGAUUACCCCUUGUACCUUUUGCAUAAUGAAUUAACUAGCACAAAACUUAACAAAACGAAUUUUAGCUAAGUAACCCGAAACCAGACGAGCUACUCAUGAACAGUUUAUCAAGAACCAACUCAUCUAUGUGGCAAAAUAGUGAGAAGAUUUAUGAGUAGAGGUGACAUGCCUAACGAGCCUGGUGAUAGCUGGUUGUCCAGAAAAUGAAUCUUAGUUCAGCUUUAAAGAUACCAAAAAUUUAAACAAAUCCUAAUGUAUCUUUAAAAGUUAGUCUAAAAAGGUACAGCCUUUUAGAUAAAGGAUACAACCUUAAAUAGAGAGUAAGACCUAAAAUACACCAUAGUAGGCCUAAAAGCAGCCACCAAUUAAGAAAGCGUUAAAGCUCAACAAUAAAACCAACAAAAAUUCCAAAGAGCAAGCAACCAACUCCUAACCCCAAUACUGGACUAAUCUAUUACAAAAUAGAAGCAAUAAUGUUAAUAUGAGUAACAAGAAACAUUUUCUCCCCGCAUAAGUUUAAGUCAGUAGCUGAUAAUACCCUGACUAUUAACAGUUAAUAAAAACAACCCAACAAUUAACAAUUUAUUAACUACACUGUUAAUCCAACACAGGAAUGCAUUCAAGGAAAGAUUAAAAGAAGUAAAAGGAACUCGGCAAA